This is a long non-coding RNA of Mesocricetus auratus (golden hamster), 1049 nucleotides long. RefSeq lists it as uncharacterized. The record is from RefSeq and is a predicted model, not a curated record. NCBI's taxonomy places the organism in Eukaryota, Metazoa, Chordata, Mammalia, Rodentia, Cricetidae. The transcript is spliced from 3 exons.
GUUCGAGAUGAAUAUAGCCUGAUUUCUCUGAAUGCCGUGGAGCAAGCUUUCAGAAGCAGGAAAAUACGCAGCUGUGUUUUCUUAUACCAGGAACCUAAAAAUAAAAACCGACUCCAGGACUGCAUGCUAGGUGUGUGAUCGACAAAGACGGAGGUUUCCAGAUCCUGUCCCUUCUGCCUGCUGCACUGCUGGCUGCCAGUUUCUCUUGGUGGUGGCUCUGAGAGCCAGGACAGGCAGAAUCUAGAGUCCUAGUACCUCAACUGCUUAACAGGUGAAUACAGAAAGGUGCAGCCCUGCCCACUGGAUUUAGGGUUUUCUGCUAUGUUCACUGAUAUGUGCACCAGAGGAGAGAAAUGUUGAAGUCAACCUCUCAUCACCAUUUUAUGCAAGCCAGGACAGAACCCAAGGAGAUGUACUGCACUCCAGGAUGAAGGGUUCCAUUUAGUCAGAGGAAGAGUGGCUCAAUAAUAAGUGUCAUUAGAUCCUGGAGGCAGUUUUGGAAGCAGUCUCAUUCUUCUGAGUGCUUGUCCUCAGGUCCAGCCCACGUUUGAAAUUCCAGCUGCACUUCCCAGGUCUGUCAGGACCAUUCGAACCAUUCCCAGGAACAAAGAGAAAACAGGCUGUGCCCCAGCAUGCAAACUUUCAACCAUGUUUAACAAGGUGCCAGAAAAAGCAAGCAGUCUCACCGUGGAUUCCCAAGACCCUGGUCUUGUUAAAAACAGUUUAUGGUUUGCACAAAAGAGGUCUGUCUUAAUUUGCUUCUUUCCUAUAAAUAAAAUAGGGUGCAUUUAGUAUUCCUAGGAGACUGGUACAUUGGCCAAGUUCAUGAUGCCUGUGGAUUUAACAAAAAUGUGUUCAUUUUUUGCCAAACGAGGGCACCCAGCCUGAAACUCUAAAGACAUGCGGAAUGAGAAGUCCUACUCCCCAUUAAAUGGUAUAUUCUAUAACUAUUGGCAUAUAAUCUGUUGUCUGCUUUCUUUCCUUUCCUAUUUUUCUUCUUUGCCACUUUUAAUGAAACUUAUUAAGUAAAUUUGAAAUUUACAAAUUCA